UCUUUCAGGGUCCGAGUUGUAAUUUGUAGAGGAUGUUUCGGGCACGGUUACGGUUUAAAUUUCUUGGAACAGAAUGUCAAAGAGGGUGAGAGUCCCGUCUUGAACCGAUUACUUCGUCCAUGUGAAACUCCUUCGACGAGUCGAGUUGUUUGGGAAUGCAGCUCAAAAUGGGUGGUAAAUUUCAUCUAAAGCUAAAUAUUGGCCAGAGACCGAUAGCGCACAAGUAGAGUGAUCGAAAGAUGAAAAGCACUUUGAAAAGAGAGUUAAACAGUAUGUGAAAUUGUUGAAAGGGAAGCGCUUGCAAUCAGACUUGAGCUUAACGGUUCCCCCUUCGUUCUCGAUGGGUUAUUCCGUUUUGUCCAGGCCAACAUCAGUUCGGGUGGUUAGUUAAAGACUUUAGGAAUGUAUCUACCCUCCGGGGUCGACUUAUAGCCUAGAGUGUCAUGUAGCCUACCUGGACUGAGGAACGCGCUUCGGCUCGGAUGUUGGCGUAAUGGUUGUAAGCGACCCGUCUUGAAACACGGACCAAGGAGUCUAACAUCUAUGCGAGUUUUAGAGUUUCAAACUCUGAGGCGUAAUGAAAGUGAACGGAGGUAAGAAGCCUUUAGGCUGCAUUAUCGACCGAUCUUGAUGUCUUCGGAUGGAUUUGAGUAAGAGCAUAGCUGUUGGGACCCGAAAGAUGGUGAACUAUGCCUGAAUAGGGUGAAGCCAGAGGAAACUCUGGUGGAGGCUCGCAGCGGUUCUGACGUGCAAAUCGAUCGUCAAAUUUGGGUAUAGGGGC
RNAcentral lists this ribosomal RNA (781 nucleotides) under Cladophialophora globosa. Its description in RNAcentral is "Cladophialophora sp. XZL-2018c partial large subunit ribosomal RNA". It matches the Rfam family "Eukaryotic large subunit ribosomal RNA", at positions 127 to 924 of the family's 3401-position model. The record is from RNAcentral. Lineage: Eukaryota; Fungi; Ascomycota; Eurotiomycetes; Chaetothyriales; Herpotrichiellaceae.